Molecule: ribosomal RNA, 869 nt
Filed under: Diaporthe sp.
Lineage: Eukaryota; Fungi; Ascomycota; Sordariomycetes; Diaporthales; Diaporthaceae
Description: partial large subunit ribosomal RNA
Rfam family: Eukaryotic large subunit ribosomal RNA
Source: RNAcentral
ACCAACAGGGAUUGCCCUAGUAACGGCGAGUGAAGCGGCAACAGCUCAAAUUUGAAAUCUGGCCUCGGCCCGAGUUGUAAUUUGCAGAGGAUGCUUCUGGCGCGGUGCCUUCCGAGUUCCCUGGAACGGGACGCCACAGAGGGUGAGAGCCCCGUAUGGUCGGACACCAAGCCUGUGUGAAGCUCCUUCGACGAGUCGAGUAGUUUGGGAAUGCUGCUCUAAAUGGGAGGUAAAUCUCUUCUAAAGCUAAAUACCGGCCAGAGACCGAUAGCGCACAAGUAGAGUGAUCGAAAGAUGAAAAGCACCUUGAAAAGGGGGUUAAAUAGUACGUGAAAUUGUUGAAAGGGAAGCACUUAUGACCAGACUUGGGCCGGGCGGCUCAUCAGGGGUUCUCCCCUGUGCACUCCGCCCGGCACAGGCCAGCAUCGGUUUUCGCGGGGGGAUAAGACCGGCGGGAACGUAGCACCCUCCGGGGUGUGUUAUAGCCCACCGGACGAUACCCUCGCGGGGACCGAGGUCCGCGCUCCGCAAGGAUGCUGGCGUAAUGGUCAUCAGUGACCCGUCUUGAAACACGGACCAAGGAGUCGUCCAUUAGAGCGAGCGUUUGGGUGUAAAACCCGCACGCGUAAUGAAAGUGAACGCAGGUGAGAGCUUCGGCGCAUCAUCGACCGAUCCUGAUGUUCUCGGAAGGAUUUGAGUAAGAGUUUUAACGGACGGACCCGAAAGACAGUGAACUAUGCUUGUAUAGGGUGAAGCCAGAGGAAACUCUGGUGGAGGCUCGCAGCGGUUCUGACGUGCAAAUCGAUCGUCAAAUAUGAGCAUGGGGGCGAAAGACUAAUCGAACUGUCUAGUAGCUGGUUACCGCCGAA